Molecule: long non-coding RNA, 288 nt
Filed under: Homo sapiens (human)
Lineage: Eukaryota; Metazoa; Chordata; Mammalia; Primates; Hominidae
Description: non-protein coding P4HA2-AS1:1
Source: RNAcentral
AGGGAACUCAAAAUAGGUGUGUGGCCUCUAGUCACCAAAUGGCUUCUUGGCUCUGCUUUAAAUUUAGGCCCACUCAGCCACUUAAGAUCCAUCUUGAAGGACUGGCUCUUUCAGGGUCACAUUUGUUCAUGCAAACUAUUGAUAUUGCAUGCUAUUUACCACUAUUUCAGAUGAAAUUGCCACAGGAUAUAAAUCAUUGGACUAUUUAAGAGAGCAAAGGCUUUUGGAAGCUGCCACAGUUUCAUUCCCAGGUCCUCCACUUACCAGCAAUGAGACUUCAUGUGACCU